RNA transcript from Sarcophilus harrisii (Tasmanian devil), 4094 nucleotides. It is a transcript of the gene named elongation factor 1-alpha 1 pseudogene, with no coding region annotated. The transcript has a single exon. NCBI's taxonomy places the organism in Eukaryota, Metazoa, Chordata, Mammalia, Dasyuromorphia, Dasyuridae. The record is from RefSeq and is a predicted model, not a curated record.
CUUAAAUUUUUAUCUUUGAAUUGAAUAAAAUUCCUUCAGUUUGUUUAAAUAUCCUAGUUGAACAGAAAAUACAAAUUAUUUUUCCCUAAUAAAAUUUUAUUUCCAUUUCCUAUAUUUACUGUCACAAAGGUGGAUAUCCAUCUACUUCCUAGAUGAAAUUAUACCAUAUAAGUUAGCCUAUAUUUAACAGCUUUGUUAGAAGAAUAGGGGACACAUAUAAAAAUAGAAACUUUUCUAUUUGUUGGAAACUGGCACUAAAAUUGACCAGAUAUCCCCUUUUUAAAAAAUUCUAAAUCUGUUUUAUGUACAUAUGCACAUAUGCAUACAUACACAUUAAAUUAUCAAGCACUUAACUUCUAGGCACUGAGGAUACAAGGAUUCAAGUAGCUUUCCUUUUCUCAAAAUAGGCAAUAUGCACAUAUAUAAGCACUUAGAGAAUUACAUUGUAGUUUUGAGAGGCACAACACUAUUAACUGAAGAGAUAAGGAAAGUCACUUCAGUAGUACGUAUGGAGGACAGAUUUAAAUGAAGAAAAACUUGAGGUAGGAGAACAAUUAGGAAGGUAUUGGAUUAGUUCAAGCAAAAAAUAAAGAUCUGAAUUAAAGUGGUAACUCUGAGCAGUGAGGAAAAGAUAUGUGUAAAAGAUCAAGUAGACAUAUAAAUGGCAAUAUUUGACAAUUGUUUGAAUAUCUAAAAUGAGGAAGAGUGAAGAGUCUAUGAUGAUGCAAACCUUGUGAAAUAGAUACUUCAAAAGAAGUAGGGGAAGUUUAGGAAAGGGAAUGAAUUGAUAGUGGGUGGAGGGAGAAAGUUAAUGUCUGUGAGACACCCAUUUAAAAAUGUCUAAUAGGCAGUUGAUGGGAUAGUAAUAGAAUUUUAAGAUAUGUAAGUCUUGAAAACGCCAUGAUGAUAGAACCUAUUGGGAACUGUUAAGAUCACCAACCUAGAAAGUGAAAGAAAAGAGUGACCAAAAAAGAGCCUUGGGAUAUAACCAUACUUAAAGAACUUAAUAUAGAUAAUGAUCCAGCAAAAUAAACUGUGAAAAAUGGCCAGGUAGGAGAAGAACAUGGAUGGAGAAUAGUGCCAACAAAAACCUAAAGAAGAGAACAUCCAGGAGAGUAGGGGUGAUCCACAGAAUCAAGUGCCUUUCAAGAGAUCAAGAAGGAUGAGGUUUGUGAAAAAUGUCAUAUUUAAUAUUCAUUUAAGAAAUCAUUAGUGACUUAGAAGAGAACAAUUUCAAUUGAAUGAUAAGAAAAGAAGACUGACUGAUUUAAAAGGAUUGAGGAGUAAGUGAGGGGAGAGACAGAUUUUAUACAGCUUUUUCUAGGGGAUUGGCUGAAAAAUAAAGGAAAGGAGUUAUAAGAUGACAGUUUGAAGGGUUGGUAAGUUGUAGUGAAGUUUUUUUAGGAUAAGUUUUUUAGGUCUUAGUCAUGAGAUUGGAGAAAGACCAAAUAAUUGUCAGAAAACAGUUUGCUGGAGAAAGUGGAAAAUAAUGGGAUCAAAACUACAUAUAUUAGGAGUUGACCUUUAUAAAGAAAAGGAGACCUGAUUUCCAGAGAAUGGAGGAAAGGAGAUUGGGAAAUGAUGGCAAGAGGUUUUGAGGUAUAUCAAAAUGAAGAGGAGGGAGCUCAUGGUGAACCAGAACCAUUUUUAUUUCCUCAAUAAAGUAUGAGAUCACACAUCAUCAGAAUACUUAGAGAGGAAGGAGACUUGAGAAAAUUUGGAACAGUCUUUGUGGUGUAUUUUAGAGAAUCAGAAAUAAAAGGAGUACCAUAUUGCAGUGAGGGCCCAAUUGUGGUCACAAAUUUGUAAUGUAACCAAUCAGUUCAAUUGAAUGACUUCUUUCAAUCUUAUAUAGCAACUUAAGAUAGGACAAGGAAAAAAUGAGGCAAUUGAUUGGUGUAAUCUAGAGCUAGGAUUUGUCAAGACUAAGUAACAAAAAGAGGUAAGAAAUUUGGGUAAAGAAUUCGAGCCAGAACGUUCAGUACUGUGUCAUAAAUUUACAAAGUAAAAUUCAGGUGAGAGAAGAUGAGGGAUGGAAGCAAAGAAUGAAAGAGAAUGUAAUAAUAGAGCAUAGGGGAUAUUUUAAUUUCCUUCCAAGACCAGUCUUAGGGACACUCAGUGCUGGAGAUAUAUAGGCCAGGGGUAUAAAAUAAUCUGUCAUAGAUGUCUUUGUAUGUAGGUGUUUUUUAGAAAUAGGUAAAGGAAAAAUUUUAUAUCAUUAAAGUGAAGGUACAUUAUAAUAAUCAUAUUUAUUCUCCUUGAAGCUGGAAGGAGUUUACAUUGAUUAUCAAUAUAGAAAUUAGUUAUAGAAUUGGCCUGUAAAUUCUCCAUCAUUCAAAAAUGAGCAAAUCAAAAAUUUAGAGCAGAAAAAUAGAAUUUCCUUUUUUGCAACGGGUUUGCUGCCAGAACACAGGUGUUAUGACAACCAUUGCUAAACCUCCACAGAAAUGGGCAAGAAAAAGACUCACAUUAACAUUAACAUCAUUGGACACAUAGACUCUGGCAAGUCCACCACUACUAGUCACCUCAUCUACAAAUGUGGUGAGGUUGAUAAGAGAACCAUUGAGAAGUUCAAGAAGGAAGCUACUGAGAUGGUAAAGGGCUCCUUCAAAUAUGCCUGGGUAUUGGAUAAACUGAAAGCUGAAUGUGAAUGUCGUAUCACUAUUGAUAUCUCCCUGUGGAAAUUUGAGAACAGCAAAUACUAUGUGACUAUUAUUGAUGCUCCGGGACACAGAGACUUUAUCAAAAACAUGAUUACAGGUAUAUCUCAGGCUGACUAUCCUGUCCUGAUUGUUGCUGCUGGUGUUGGUGAAUUUGAAGCUGAUAUCUCAAAGGAUGGGCAAACCUCUGAGCAUACCCUUCCGGCCUACACAUUAGGUGUGAAACAACUGAUUGUUGGUGUAAACAAAAUGGAUUCCACUGAGCCACCCUACAGCCAGAAGAGAUACAAGGAAAUUGUUAAGGAAGUCAGUACCUAUAACAAGAAAAUUGAUACCCUGAUAUAGUGGUUAUGUGCCAAUUUCAGGAUGAAUGGUGACAACAUGCUGGAGCUAAGCUCUAAUAUGCCUUGGUUUAAGAGAUGGAAAGUCACCCGUAAGGAUGAGAAUACUAAUGGAACUACACUGCUGGAAGCUUUAGAUUGUAUCCUGUCAUGAACUUGUCCAACUGAUAAACGCCUUUGUCUACCCCUCCAAAAUGUCUACAAGAUUGGUGGUAUUUGGUACUGUACCUGUUGGCCAUGUGGAAGCUGGUGUUCUGAAACCAGGCAUGGUUGUCACCUUUGCCCCAGUCAAUGUUACAACUAAAGUAAAGUCUGUUGAAAUGCACCAUGAAGCUUUGACUGAGGCUCUGCCUGGGGAUAAUGUUAGUUUCAAUGUCAAGAACAUGUCUGUCAAAGAUGUCUGUUGUGGUAGUGUGGCUGGUGACAGUAAGAAUGACCCACCUAUGGAAGCUGCUGGUUUCACUGCACAGGUCAUUAUCCUGAACCAGUCAAAUCAGUGCUGGCUAUGUACCUGCUCUGGAUUAUCACACUGCUCACAUUGCUUGCAAGUUUGCUGAACUGAAGGAGAAGAUUGAUUGUUGUUCUGGUAAGAAGCUGGAAGAUGGCCCUAAAUUCCUGAAAUUUGGUGAUGCUGCCAUCGUUGACAUAUUUUCAGACAAGCCUGUGUGUGUGGAGAGCUUUUCUGAUUAUCUUCCUCUGGGUCAUUUUGCUAUUUGAUAUAAGGCAGAUUGUUGCAGUUGGUGUCAUGAAGGCAGUUGACAAGAAGGUUGCUGGAGCUGACAAAGUCACAAAAUCUGCCCAGAAGGCUAAAUGAAUAUCUGUUACCCCAGUCUUAAUCAGUGGUGGAAGAACAGUCUCAAAACUGUUUGUCUCAAUUGGCCAUUUAAGUUUAAUAGUAAAAGACUGGUUAAUGAUUACAAUGCAUUGUAAAAGCUUCAGAAGGAAAGGAAUGUUUUUGUGGACCAUUUGUUUUGUGGCAGUUUUAAGUUAUUAGUUUUUAAAGUCAGUAAUUUUUAAAUGGAAACAACUUGACCAAAAAUCUGUCACAGAAUUUUGAGACCAUUAAAACAGUUUAAUGCAAAAAAAAAAAAAA